AUAUAUAUAUAUAUAUAUAUAUAUAGAGAGAGAGAGAGAGAGAGAGAGAGAGAGAGAGAGAGAGAUUUGUCAAGAAACAUGGACAGCAUCAGUGUCAGUCGAGGCAUUUCUCUUCCCUAAACGUCUGUAAAGCCCUCCAGAAAACCAACAUUUAUUUAUGCUGAGGCUUUGUUUGUGCAGCAGCGCCGGGUCGAAGGGAAAUCACCUGCACCGCGAGCCGAUUUCUCAAAGAGCCGGGGCCCGACUCGUCCUUCAGUACAUUACCACCUACACAUCUCCUCACAAUACACACGCAUGCAUCCACACACUGAGCUAAUUACAGGGAGACUCCCGUCCCAUUUCUAUCUGAAUCACUGGAACAGAGGAGGAGAGACGCGCUGGGUCCUCUUUACUGAAAGGACAGGCUUGUGUCUUUGAGGUUUUUCUACAUAAAGAAGAGUAAACAAGGCCCUGGCGAGCUAAUUGAGCGGAACGGCAUCCCUGCUGAUCCUACGAGGGAAAACCAUCAAAAGAGCCAAAGAGAGAGAAGCUGAGCAGAGAGACAUAUUUUGAUGUUUCUCCUGAUCUAAAAGAGCCAAAAAGAGUCUCAACUUUGUCUCAAAGUCUGCAAUGAAAAGCCAGAGACCGCAAUAUAAACUCCUUUAUACGUCUCUUCUGUUCACCAGUGCUGCAUUUAUUUAAUCAAAAAUACAGUAAAAAAUUGUGAAUUAUUAU
This is a long non-coding RNA of Cyprinus carpio carpio, 714 nucleotides long. The record is from Ensembl. NCBI's taxonomy places the organism in Eukaryota, Metazoa, Chordata, Actinopteri, Cypriniformes, Cyprinidae.